Molecule: ribosomal RNA, 292 nt
Filed under: uncultured bacterium
Lineage: Bacteria
Description: partial 16S ribosomal RNA
Rfam family: Bacterial small subunit ribosomal RNA
Source: RNAcentral
GUGCCAGCCGCCGCGGUAAUACGGGAGGUGCAAGCGUUGUUCGGAAUUAUUGGGCGUAAAGAGCACGUAGGUGGGUUGGUAAGUCGGAUGUGAAAGCCCUAGGCUCAACCUAGGAAUUGCACCCGAAACUACCGAUCUUGAAUACUUGAGGGGUUGGAGAAAUUCCAGGUGUAGGAGUGAAAUCCGUAGAGAUCUGGAGGAAUACCGGAGGCGAAGGCGUCCAACUGGCAAUGUAUUGACACUGAGGUGCGAAAGUGCGGGGAGCAAACAGGAUUAGAUACCCUCGUAGUCC